RNAcentral lists this unclassified non-coding RNA (179 nucleotides) under rhizosphere metagenome. RNAcentral's name for it is "partial ribosomal RNA internal transcribed spacer region". The record is from RNAcentral.
GAGUGCGGGCCCUCGCGCCCAACCUCCAACCCUUUGUCGACUCAUAACUGUUGCCUCGGGGGGCGACCCGGACGCGAGCCCGGGAGUCCCCCAGAGGUCCAAUCAAACACCCUGCGUCUUUGCGUCGGAGUAUUGAAUAUAAAUCAAUCAAAACUUUCAACAACGGAUCUCUUGGUUCU